AGUUCAUUUAACAUCGAAACGCUCGUAAUAAAUUUUGUUUUUGAUCGAAUUAUUCUAAAAUCUUGUCUCGUUGGGAGGUUAAGAUUGUACGACGAGCUAAGCUAUUCGUAUCUUCGUUCUAGCCAAGCAAAGCGUGUAAAUUCUAUGAAGGAGCUUGUCGCUCGAAAAUUAGCGUUUAGAUAACGGGAAUAUAAUCGUGGUAGACUGUAGCAAAGUCGAAGGAGAAAUUUCGUUGGAAUGAGGGGCGGAAGGAGGGCGGGAGAGAAAGGAGGAGGCCGAGGGUAUAAAUAGGCUGUCGGUGGUGUCGACGAAGGCGAGUCACGUUUAACUCAAGAUUUCGAGAGUAACGUCGGAAUAUACGGGUGGGUGGAUCGAAAAUGGUGUUGAUGGGUGAUGGUGGUAGUGAGAGGAAGAAGAAGAGAGAGCUUGGAAGCCAGAGGGAGAUGUCGGGUGGGAGGUGCCAGGUUGCAUGAGAGGAAGAGAGAGCUUCGAUGGUUUCUCUCUUAAUCGCGCUUGCUAGGCGACACAUCGAGGUGCUAACCCGAGGCUCUUGUUAGUCAAUUUUAUAUGCAGCUAGCAUGCGAUGCAACUUAAUGCAGCAUACACAUACAAAACGAAAGAGGGUUUCAGGGUGCAGGUGGCCACCGUGUAUUCCGCUCAGCGAUCGGCUUAGAUAGAAGAUCGUCGUAUGAAUGGAUAGGACAAGAGAGGAGAAGGAGGUGGAGGAUGAGAAGUCGCCUCCCGGGGCCUAUUUGUAAAUCAGUUCCCGGUUGCAGGAUUCUGAUAAACGUCCUCGUUACGCGAAAACGUGCCAGCGUCGCGAUUAUUUAACAUCACGAUGCCAGCAAGCAGGCAACCAACCCCGAAACAUUUGUCUCUUGAUACCCUCUUGUCCCUUGCCGGUGAAACCGUAUCCUAGGAUGCAUCGAACGACGUUACGAGAGACCUUCGUCCCCUUAACCCCUCCAAUUCCUUCUUUAUAAAUUUCUUAAUAAAAUCUACAUUGAAAAAUU
RNA transcript from Vespa velutina, 1013 nucleotides. RefSeq lists it as uncharacterized. Lineage: Eukaryota; Metazoa; Arthropoda; Insecta; Hymenoptera; Vespidae. The transcript has 2 exons. The record is from RefSeq and is a predicted model, not a curated record.